UGAACGCGGAAAGACCUUACCAAGGCUUGACAUGGGCCGGGCCGCUCCAGAGAUGGGUGCUUCCCUUCGGGGCCGGUUCACAGGUGGUGCAUGGUUGUCGUCAGCUCGUGUCGUGAGAUGUUGGGUUAAGUCCCGCAACGAGCGCAACCCUCGUUCCAUGUUGCCAGCACUUCGGGUGGGGACUCAUGGGAGACUGCCGGGGUCAACUCGGAGGAAGGUGGGGACGACGUCAAAUCAUCAUGCCCCUUAUGCCUUGGGCUUCACGCAUGCUACAAUGGCCGGUACAAAGGGUUGCGAUGCUGUGAGGUUGAGCCAAUCCCAGAAAGCCGGUCUCAGUUCGGAUUGGGGUCUGCAACUCGACCCCAUGAAGUCGGAGUCGCUAGUAAUCGCAGAUCAGCAACGCUGCGGUGAAUACGUUCCCGGGUCUUGUACACACGCACA
This 441-nucleotide ribosomal RNA is filed under the name bacterium CPTAC10B. RNAcentral describes it as "bacterial SSU rRNA". It matches the Rfam family "Bacterial small subunit ribosomal RNA", at positions 956 to 1396 of the family's 1533-position model. The record is from RNAcentral.